GACGUGACUUCAGAGUUUGAUCCUGGCUCAGGAUAAACGCUGGCGGCGCACAUAAGACAUGCAAGUCGAACGGAAGUCGUUUUAGUGAAUCUGAUAUGAAAGAUUUAUCCGGAAUUGAAGAUGAUCUAAACAAUGGCUUUAGUGGCGGACUGGUGAGUAACACGUAAGCAACCUGCCUGUUAGAGGGGAAUAACAGCGAGAAAUCGUUGCUAAUACCGCAUAUGCCAUAAAACCACAUGGUUUUAGUGGGAAAGGAGUAAUCCGCUAACAGAUGGGCUUGCGUCUGAUUAGAUAGUUGGUGGGGUAACGGCCUACCAAGUCGACGAUCAGUAGCCGGACUGAGAGGUUCAACGGCCACAUUGGGACUGAGAUACGGCCCAG
RNAcentral lists this ribosomal RNA (381 nucleotides) under uncultured bacterium. RNAcentral's name for it is "bacterial SSU rRNA". It matches the Rfam family "Bacterial small subunit ribosomal RNA", at positions 1 to 334 of the family's 1533-position model. The record is from RNAcentral.